AUACUUGAGCUCCACUUCCUCCUGAAUGCACUUUAGCCUCAACCGCAAAUUGUAAUGCACAUAAACAACGUCGUUGAGGUGCUUUUGCGUCAAACGGUUUCUUUGUUUGCUGUGGAUAAGGGCGAAGGUGGACCAAUUGCGCUCACAGCCACUAGAGGAGACUGUUUGGGAGAGGAUCCGGAUAGCUAUCCGCUUUAGAUUUCUCGCGGACCCGCCAAAAUGCACCCACCAUUCA
Molecule: long non-coding RNA, 235 nt
Filed under: Phoenix dactylifera (date palm)
Lineage: Eukaryota; Viridiplantae; Streptophyta; Magnoliopsida; Arecales; Arecaceae
Description: long non-coding RNA (PDAC_LNC013998)
Source: RNAcentral